GACGAACGCUGGCGGCGUGCUUAACACAUGCAAGUCGAACGGAAAGGCCUGCUUUCCCUUGUGGAUUGCGGGUACUCGAGUGGCGAACGGGUGAGUAACACGUGAGUGAUCUGCCCCCAACUUGGGUAUAAGCCUGGGAAACUGGGUCUAAUUCCCGAUAGGACUGCAGGGUGGUGCCUGUGGUGGAAAACGAUUUUCUAGUGGUUGGGGAUGAGCUCGCGGCCUAUCAGCUUGUUGGUGGGGUAAUGGCCUACCAAGGCGGCGACGGGUAGCCGGCCUGGGAGGGUGGACGGCAACAUUGGGAAUGAGAUACGGCCCAGACUCCUACGGGAGGCAGCAGUGGGGAAGAUUGCACAAUGGGCGGAAGCCUGAUGCAGCGACGCCGCGUGGGGGAUGACGGCCUUCGGGUUGUAAACUCCUUUCGACCGCGAGGAAGCCACCUGGUUGGAAGGGUGGUGACGGUAGUGGUAGAAGAAGCACCGGCUAACUACGUG
This 494-nucleotide ribosomal RNA is filed under the name uncultured bacterium. RNAcentral's name for it is "partial 16S ribosomal RNA". It matches the Rfam family "Bacterial small subunit ribosomal RNA", at positions 28 to 507 of the family's 1533-position model. The record is from RNAcentral.